This 108-nucleotide ribosomal RNA is filed under the name Rhodocyclaceae bacterium. Its description in RNAcentral is "partial 23S ribosomal RNA". It matches the Rfam family "Bacterial large subunit ribosomal RNA", at positions 2826 to 2925 of the family's 2925-position model. The record is from RNAcentral. Lineage: Bacteria; Pseudomonadati; Pseudomonadota; Betaproteobacteria; Rhodocyclales; Rhodocyclaceae.
CUUGAAGGGUCGUCGAAGACCACGACGUUGAUAGGUCAGGUGUGGAAGCGCAGUAAUGCGUUAAGCUAACUGAUACUAAUUGCCCGUACGGCUUGAUCCUAUAACCUU